Molecule: microRNA precursor, 84 nt
Filed under: Ailuropoda melanoleuca (giant panda)
Lineage: Eukaryota; Metazoa; Chordata; Mammalia; Carnivora; Ursidae
Description: mir-452 microRNA precursor family
Rfam family: mir-452 microRNA precursor family
Source: Rfam by way of RNAcentral
GCUAAGCACUUACAACUGUUUGCAGAGGAAGCUGAGACUUUGUAACACAUCUCAGUCUCAUCUGCAAAGAAGUAAGUGUUUUGC